RNAcentral lists this ribosomal RNA (460 nucleotides) under uncultured bacterium. RNAcentral's name for it is "partial 16S ribosomal RNA". It matches the Rfam family "Bacterial small subunit ribosomal RNA", at positions 338 to 795 of the family's 1533-position model. The record is from RNAcentral.
CCUACGGGUGGCAGCAGUGAGGAAUAUUGGUCAAUGGACGAAAGUCUGAACCAGCCAAGCAGCGUGCAGGAUGACUGCUCUAUGAGUUGUAAACUUCUUUUAUACAGGGAUAAACCCAGGUACGUGUGUCUUUUUGCAUGUACUUUAUGAAUAAGGAUCGGCUAACUCCGUGCCAGCAGCCGCGGUAAUACGGAGGAUCCGAGCGUUAUCCGGAUUUAUUGGGUUUAAAGGGUGCGUAGAUGGGUUGUUAAGUUAGUUGUGAAAGUGCGAGGCUCAACCGUAAAAUUGCCAUUGAUACUGGCAGUCUAGAGUACAGUUGAGGUAGGCGGAAUGCAUGGUGUAGCGGUGAAAUGCUUAGAGAUCACGAAGAACCCCGAUUGCGAAGGCAGCUUACUAAGCUAUGACUGACAUUGAGGCUCGAAAGUGUGGGUAGCAAACAGGAUUAGAUACCCUAGUAGUC